GUCUAUGGCCAUACCACAUUGAACGCGCCAGAUCUUGUCUGAUCUCGUAAGCUAAGCAGGGUCGGACCUGGUUAUUACUUGGAUGGGAGAACUAAGAUUUCUAAAGGGAUAUAAGAGAGACUCUAGUAUGCUAUAUGCU
Molecule: non-coding RNA, 139 nt
Organism: Myotis brandtii (Brandt's bat)
Lineage: Eukaryota; Metazoa; Chordata; Mammalia; Chiroptera; Vespertilionidae
Source: Rfam